Molecule: long non-coding RNA, 369 nt
Filed under: Eucalyptus grandis
Lineage: Eukaryota; Viridiplantae; Streptophyta; Magnoliopsida; Myrtales; Myrtaceae
Description: long non-coding RNA (EGRA_LNC001826)
Source: RNAcentral
UAGCUUUGUCCAUGGCAUAAGGCUUUUACCCUCUUUUCAUCAAUCAUAUUAAGUUGUUCAAAUCUUUGUUGAACCCAUUCAGCUUCAGAGAGUUUGAUUUGAGAAAGUAUCCUUAGUGAAGGAAUUUCCACUUCCACGGGUAAUACAGCUUCCAUCCCAUAAACCAAUGAGAACGGUGUUGCCCCAGUCGAAGUACGAAUUGAAGUUCGAUAAGCAAACAAAGCAUAUGGCAACCGAUCAUGCCAAUCACGAUAAUUUUCCGCCGUUUUGGCUAAAAUCUUCUUGAUAUUCUUAUUUGCCGCUUCCACAGCUCCAUUCAUUUGUGGGUGGUAAGGAGAAGAAUUCAAAUGGCAAAUGUGGAAUUCUCCA